UACGAAGGGGGCUAGCGUUGCUCGGAAUCACUGGGCGUAAAGCGCACGUAGGCGGCUUGUUAAGUCAGGGGUGAAAUCCUGGAGCUCAACUCCAGAACUGCCUUUGAUACUGGCGAGCUUAGUUCGGGAGAGGUGAGUGGAACUGCGAGUGUAGAGGUGAAAUUCGUAGAUAUUCGCAAGAACACCAGUGGCGAAGGCGGCUCACUGGCCCGAUACUGACGCUGAGGUGCGAAAGCGUGGGGAGCAAACAGG
RNAcentral lists this ribosomal RNA (252 nucleotides) under uncultured bacterium. Its description in RNAcentral is "partial 16S ribosomal RNA". It matches the Rfam family "Bacterial small subunit ribosomal RNA", at positions 524 to 776 of the family's 1533-position model. The record is from RNAcentral.